CGAUUUGGAGGUUGUGCCCUUGAGGCGUGGCUUCCGGAGCUAACGCGUUAAAUCGACCGCCUGGGGAGUACGGCCGCAAGGUUAAAACUCAAAUGAAUUGACGGGGGCCCGCACAAGCGGUGGAGCAUGUGGUUUAAUUCGAUGCAACGCGAAGAACCUUACCUGGUCUUGACAUCCACAGAACUUUCCAGAGAUGGAUUGGUGCCUUCGGGAACUGUGAGACAGGUGCUGCAUGGCUGUCGUCAGCUCGUGUUGUGAAAUGUUGGGUUAAGUCCCGCAACGAGCGCAACCCUUAUCCUUUGUUGCCAGCGGUYMGGCCGGGAACUCAAAGGAGACUGCCAGUGAUAAACUGGAGGAAGGUGGGGAUGACGUCAAGUCAUCAUGGCCCUUACGACCAGGGCUACACACGUGCUACAAUGGCAUAUACAAAGAGAAGCGACCUCGCGAGAGCAAGCGGACCUCAUAAAGUAUGUCGUAGUCCGGAUUGGAGUCUGCAACUCGACUCCAUGAAGUCGGAAUCGCUAGUAA
Molecule: ribosomal RNA, 528 nt
Filed under: bacterium
Lineage: Bacteria
Description: bacterial SSU rRNA
Rfam family: Bacterial small subunit ribosomal RNA
Source: RNAcentral